RNAcentral lists this ribosomal RNA (253 nucleotides) under uncultured bacterium. RNAcentral describes it as "partial 16S ribosomal RNA". It matches the Rfam family "Bacterial small subunit ribosomal RNA", at positions 524 to 776 of the family's 1533-position model. The record is from RNAcentral.
UACGUAGGGGCCGAGCGUUGUCCGGAGUUAUUGGGCGUAAAGCGCGCGCAGGCGGCCUCGCGCGCCCGACGUGAAAGCCCCCGGCUCAACUGGGGAGGGUCACGCGAUACUGAUCGACUCGAAGGCAGGAGAGGGAAGUGGAAUUCCCGGUGUAGUGGUGAAAUGCGUAGAUAUCGGGAGGAACACCAGUGGCGAAGGCGACUUCCUGGCCUGUUCUUGACGCUGAGGCGCGAAAGCUAGGGGAGCAAACGGG